RNAcentral lists this transfer RNA (85 nucleotides) under Felis catus (domestic cat). It matches the Rfam family "tRNA". From Rfam's summary of the family: Transfer RNA (tRNA) molecules are approximately 80 nucleotides in length. Their secondary structure includes four short double-helical elements and three loops (D, anti-codon, and T loops). The record is from Rfam by way of RNAcentral. Lineage: Eukaryota; Metazoa; Chordata; Mammalia; Carnivora; Felidae.
GCCUGGGUGGCUCAGUUGGUUAAGUGCCUGACUUCGGAUCAGGUCACGAUCUCACGGUUCGUGGGUUCGAGCCCUGCAUCAGGCU